Molecule: ribosomal RNA, 856 nt
Filed under: uncultured bacterium
Lineage: Bacteria
Description: bacterial SSU rRNA
Rfam family: Bacterial small subunit ribosomal RNA
Source: RNAcentral
GACGAACGCUGGCGGCGCGCUUAACACAUGCAAGUCGAGCGAGAACCAGGGCUUCGGCCCUGGGGACAGCGGCGAACGGGUGAGUAACACGUGGAUAACCUGCCCUCGACACCGGAAUAGCCCGGGGAAACUCGGAUUAAUGCCGGAUAGCCCCACAGUCCUGCGGGACGGUGGGAAAAGGUAGCUUCGGCCUCUGGUCGAGGAUGGGUCCGCGGCGGAUUAGCUUGUUGGCGGGGUAACGGCCCACCAAGGCGACGAUCCGUAGCUGGUCUGAGAGGACGAUCAGCCACACUGGGACUGAGACACGGCCCAGACUCCUACGGGAGGCAGCAGUGGGGAAUCUUGCGCAAUGGGCGAAAGCCUGACGCAGCGACGCCGCGUGCGGGAAGAAGGCCUUAGGGUUGUAAACCGCUUUCAGGAGGGACGAAGCUACUCGGGUGAACAGCCCAGAGGGUGACGGUACCUCCAGAAGAAGCCCCGGCUAACUACGUGCCAGCAGCCGCGGUAAUACGUAGGGGGCAAGCGUUGUCCGGAUUCAUUGGGCGUAAAGAGCGUGUAGGCGGCCAGGUAGGUCGGUUGUGAAAACUGGAGGCUCAACCUUCAGACGUCGACCGAAACCCCCUGGCUAGAGUCCGGGAGAGGAGAGUGGAAUUCCUGGUGUAGCGGUGGAAUGCGCAGAUAUCAGGAAGAACACCCGUGGCGAAAGCGGCUCUCUGGAACGGUACUGACGCUGAGACGCGAAAGCGUGGGGAGCGAACAGGAUUAGAUACCCUGGUAGUCCACGCCGUAAACGAUGGGCGCUAGGUGUGGGAGGUGUCGACUCCUUCCGUGCCGAAGCUAACGCAUUAAGCGCCCC